UGUGCUACAAAGGGCAUGGCCUGAGAAGU
Molecule: non-coding RNA, 29 nt
Filed under: Mus musculus (house mouse)
Lineage: Eukaryota; Metazoa; Chordata; Mammalia; Rodentia; Muridae
Source: RNAcentral